AUUGAACGCUGGCGGAAUGCUUUACACAUGCAAGUCGAACGGCAGCAUAGGUGCUUGCACCUGAUGGCGAGUGGCGAACGGGUGAGUAAUACAUCGGAACGUGCCCAGUCGUGGGGGAUAACGUAGCGAAAGUUACGCUAAUACCGCAUACGAUCUACGGAUGAAAGCGGGGGAUCGCAAGACCUCGCGCGAUUAGAGCGGCCGAUGCCUGAUUAGCUUGUUGGUGGGGUAAAAGCCCACCAAGGCGACGAUCAGUAGCUGGUCUGAGAGGACGAUCAGCCACACUGGGACUGAGACACGGCCCAGACUCCUACGGGAGGCAGCAGUGGGGAAUUUUGGACAAUGGGGGCAACCCUGAUCCAGCAAUGCCGCGUGAGUGAAGAAGGCCUUCGGGUUGUAAAGCUCUUUUGUCAGGGAAGAAACACCGGCUCUAACACAGUCCGGGAAUGACGGUACCUGAAGAAUAAGCACCGGCUAACUACGUG
Molecule: ribosomal RNA, 485 nt
Filed under: uncultured bacterium
Lineage: Bacteria
Description: bacterial SSU rRNA
Rfam family: Bacterial small subunit ribosomal RNA
Source: RNAcentral